UACGAAGGGGGCUAGCGUUGCUCGGAAUCACUGGGCGUAAAGGGCGCGUAGGCGGCUUGCCAAGUCAGGGGUGAAAUCUUUCGGCUUAACCGGAAAAGUGCCUCUGAUACUGGCGAGCUAGAGGGAGGUAGGGGCAUGUGGAACUUCCGGUGGAGCGGUGAAAUGCGUUGAUAUCGGAAGGAACGCCGGUGGCGAAAGCGACGUGCUGGAUCUCUUCUGACGCUGAGGCGCGAAAGCUAGGGGAGCGAACGGG
RNAcentral lists this ribosomal RNA (253 nucleotides) under uncultured bacterium. RNAcentral's name for it is "partial 16S ribosomal RNA". It matches the Rfam family "Bacterial small subunit ribosomal RNA", at positions 524 to 776 of the family's 1533-position model. The record is from RNAcentral.